GAAAUGCGAUAAUUAAUGUGAAUUGCAGAAUUCAGUGAAUCAUCGAGUCUUUGAACGCACAUUGCGCCCCCUGGUAUUCCGGGGGGCAUGCCUGUCCGAGCGUCAUUGCUGCCCUCAAGCACGGCUUGUGUGUUGGGCUUCCGUCCCUGGCAACGGGGACGGGCCCAAAAGGCAGUGGCGGCACCAUGUCUGGUCCUCGAGCGUAUGGGGCUUUGUCACCCGCUCCCGUAGGUCCAGCUGGCAGCUAGCCUCGCAACCAAUCUUUUUAACCACGUUGACCUCGGAUCAGGUAGGGAUACCCGCUGAACUUAAGC
This 314-nucleotide unclassified non-coding RNA is filed under the name plant metagenome. Its description in RNAcentral is "partial contains 5.8S ribosomal RNA, internal transcribed spacer 2, and large subunit ribosomal RNA". The stretch from base 1 to 105 matches the Rfam family "5.8S ribosomal RNA", at positions 50 to 154 of the family's 154-position model. The record is from RNAcentral.